RNAcentral lists this non-coding RNA (30 nucleotides) under Mus musculus (house mouse). The record is from RNAcentral. Lineage: Eukaryota; Metazoa; Chordata; Mammalia; Rodentia; Muridae.
AAGGCUCAAAAAAAGAUAGGGUUAAAGCAA